CAACACUGAGAGGGAAGAGCAUCUAGAUACAUUGGGAUCCUGAAUUCCAUCUUAUCCUACAGGUUUGGUUUCCAUGGGAACCGGGAUGGCAGCGUCAUCGCUCUGGUGAUGUCCCUGGGAUGUCACAAAUACCUAGGGGAGAAGAUAUUAGAGAGAGCCAAUGAAGCCUGGCACAGAAGUGACGCUGCAGGGCACUAAAUGCUGUUUUUCACUGUUCCUGAACAAUAUCAGGCUUUUAGCCUUGUUUCUCCAACUAGAUUGUAAGCUCCUGGAGCACAGGGGAUGUCCUUACAUUCAUUUGAUUAUCCCCUCAGUGCCUGCAUGGUGAUAGAUGCAUUCACACAAAUAGGAACUUAAUCGAUCAUUGCUGAAAGAAUGUCUAAAUAGGGAGAGAGGGAAAAGGCUGUUAGAAGAGAUGGGUGGUCUCCCUCCUAAAUAAGCCCAAGCUUAUUUAGAAAAUUUUUAAUUUAGCCCUUUGAGCUUUAGCAGUAGGGCACCCUGGGCAAAUGACUCAACCUCACCAAGAUUCAGUUUCCACAGCUGUAAAAAGAAGGGGAAUUAUAAUAACCCCUAUUUCCCAGGAUUGAUGUGCCAAAAAAGAGCAAUUAAAGUGCAUUAUAUAUAUUUUGGUAGUCUUAUGGCAAUUCUUAUUGUUAGAGAGAAUUUUCCCUAUUGUUCACUUGUGUCCCAUUCUUUGUUUUUUUUGGGACUCCACGGACUAUACCUGUCCAUGAUGUUUUCUUGGCAAAGAUACUGGAAUGGUUUACCAUUGCCUUCUCCAGGGGAUCCUUCUGUCAGGAUGGCAACAAGUGUAAAUAGGGAAGGGAUUGUGGUUGAGGAGAAAAAGGUGAAUACAUUCCGGGCAGAUGGAACAGCAUGAGGAAAAGUUUGAAGGAAGGAGAGGAGGAGUGCACUCAGUGGAUGGUGAGUAACUCAGUUUGGCUGGAGAAUGUGGUGUGGUACAUUAGAAAGGUUAUUCAGGUAUACACACAGAAUGGGUUGGAGUGGGAAAAGAGACUAGACAUGGGAGACCAAUUAAGAAACUGUUGUAUCACCAGCAAAGGAUAAUGAGUUAAAGAAGCCUUUUUAUUUCUUUAUACUAGAUUUCUUUGUCUUGUAUUAUAUAUAUUAUGUCAUAUGUAUUUUAUAUAAUAUAUGCAUUUCAUAUAAUACAUAUAUUACAUAAAUAGUCAUAUCUCUGGUCCUUAGUUUCCUCACUUGAGGAACUUGGCCUAUAUGAUUUCUAGGGUCUCUUCAAGCUCUAACUCUAUAAUCCUGUGAUUCUCUAUGGGUCUUUGCAACACUAAAAUAAUAAAUGCUUCUGAACCAGAAAACA
This 1336-nucleotide long non-coding RNA is filed under the name Monodelphis domestica (gray short-tailed opossum). Its description in RNAcentral is "lncRNA (ENSMODG00000031040.2)". The record is from RNAcentral. Lineage: Eukaryota; Metazoa; Chordata; Mammalia; Didelphimorphia; Didelphidae.